This is a long non-coding RNA of Sceloporus undulatus (fence lizard), 144 nucleotides long. RefSeq lists it as uncharacterized. The transcript is spliced from 2 exons. The record is from RefSeq and is a predicted model, not a curated record. NCBI's taxonomy places the organism in Eukaryota, Metazoa, Chordata, Lepidosauria, Squamata, Phrynosomatidae.
UAUGUCUGUUUGGUGACGUUGGAUUAUCAUAAGACUGUUUGCCAGCAUGCUGUUUUGUUGGUGCACAGAAGAAGAUGGUUCUCCCUCUUGAUACAUGGUCCUUUGAGACUUACUUCCAGAAAAUGAAUCCACAACCUUUCCUUA